Long non-coding RNA from Folsomia candida, 391 nucleotides. RefSeq lists it as uncharacterized. Lineage: Eukaryota; Metazoa; Arthropoda; Collembola; Entomobryomorpha; Isotomidae. The transcript has 3 exons. The record is from RefSeq and is a predicted model, not a curated record.
AUUUAUUUUGCGAGAAUCAUUUUCUUUCUUUGUUCUGUAAUUAAUUCUACUUCAUUUAACUUUAGCCACGUAAUAAGUUAAUUGUGGCAUUGAAUAACAUCUGCCAAUUGUAAUUUGCCAAAAUACUAAGCAAUUAAACUGGUCGAUAACGCAGUUCCAGAACACAGACGAGGUAUUUAUUUCCGGAAACCACCAGUUCCCGAUUUCUGUAAAUCAACAGCCCGUUUAUCAUCGAGCCAUCGCGGAAAUAAGGAUGCAGAUCUGAUGAAGCGUGCCUUUUACGGGUUGGUGAGAGAUAUUCCAUCAACAACAGAAGCGAUUGACUUGCUGUACAAUAAUAUUGAAGAAAUGUCGGAUGAUGAUGAGCCAUCACCACUCCCACCGUUCGAUU